Molecule: long non-coding RNA, 797 nt
Organism: Apis cerana (Asiatic honeybee)
Lineage: Eukaryota; Metazoa; Arthropoda; Insecta; Hymenoptera; Apidae
Source: RefSeq, a predicted model, not a curated record
AUAUUCUUUAUCAUUUACGUGAUAAAAUUCAUUGAUAAUAAUGUAAGAUGUCAUCUCAUCAUGACUUGGUAAUGAUCUUGAUGAAUUCGUUGAAAUCGAUUGCAUCGAAGAUAUUCGAGAGAAUCAAUAUACAAUCGUAUAUAUGUAAUUGGUGUCUUUUAAUCAAAUAUUUGUAAGAUGGUUAAUAACCAGAGGAUUAUUUAGUGCACACGCUGUUUUCCAUUUCUAAUUGUCCUAAUGAAGCCUGGGAGGCAAGUUUUACUUUUUUCAAAAGCAGAGCUUGAGCUUCAGGUACUUUUCCAGCAUUUCCUUUCCAAAUCUUCAUUACUUCGUUCUUUAAAACAAACAAAAUUGAAAUAAAUUUCAUAUCUUUAUACGUGCAUUAAAUUAAAAUAACAUUUAUAAUUUUGAUGAUGGAUUAGAAUAUAAUGUACUUGUAAGGCACGCCCAUAACAAUACGUCAAUUGCCAAGGUUUUUUCCCUUCGUAAUUUGCAAUAGCAUUUAAAUUUAUCACAGAAUCUUCAUCCGUUUGACCACCACUUAGAAAUAUGACAGCUGGCACCGCUGGUGGUACUGUUCUUUGUAAAGCUAAUACCGUAUGUUCAGCCACGAUCUGUAAAUUUUUAAUAAUUUAAUGAUGAAAAAAUAUCGUAUAUUUUAUAAAAAUCUUCUUUUUUAUUGAGAAAUAAUAUCGAAUUAAAUUAAUAAUUUCGCUAAUAAAAAUAAAAUCUUAAGUUAUGAAAAAAAGAAAAGAAGUAAAAUUGUUUGAAGGAAUAAAAUGAAUCGUUAUACCUGC